GCGGGUCUGGCUCGUCAUCCCCCCCGGAGCCAGGCCCCUGACGGCCGCUGGAAUCCCCCCCUCCAGCGGCCGUCCUUU
Molecule: regulatory RNA element, 78 nt
Organism: Stackebrandtia nassauensis DSM 44728
Lineage: Bacteria; Bacillati; Actinomycetota; Actinomycetes; Glycomycetales; Glycomycetaceae
Rfam family: 6C RNA
Source: Rfam